UUUUUUGGAAGGAAAAAAAUGUAACAAGGUCUCCGUAGGUGAACCUGCGGAGGGAUCAUUACACAAAUAUGAAGGCGGGCUGGAACCUCUCGGGGUUACAGCCUUGCUGAAUUAUUCACCCUUGUCUUUUGCGUACUUCUUGUUUCCUUGGUGGGUUCGCCCACCACUAGGACAAACAUAAACCUUUUGUAAUUGCAAUCAGCGUCAGUAACAAAUUAAUAAUUACAACUUUCAACAACGGAUCUCUUGGUUCUGGCAUCGAUGAAGAACGCAGCGAAAUGCGAUAAGUAGUGUGAAUUGCAGAAUUCAGUGAAUCAUCGAAUCUUUGAACGCACAUUGCGCCCUUUGGUAUUCCAAAGGGCAUGCCUGUUCGAGCGUCAUUUGUACCCUCAAGCUUUGCUUGGUGUUGGGCGUCUUGUCUCUAGCUUUGCUGGAGACUCGCCUUAAAGUAAUUGGCAGCCGGCCUACUGGUUUCGGAGCGCAGCACAAGUCGCACUCUCUAUCAGCAAAGGUCUAGCAUCCAUUAAGCCUUUUUUUCAACUUUGACCUCGGAUCAGGUAGGAUCCCCCGUCCC
This 574-nucleotide ribosomal RNA is filed under the name Alternaria alternata. RNAcentral describes it as "eukaryotic LSU rRNA". The stretch from base 227 to 380 matches the Rfam family "5.8S ribosomal RNA". The record is from RNAcentral. Lineage: Eukaryota; Fungi; Ascomycota; Dothideomycetes; Pleosporales; Pleosporaceae.